GGCACUAACGCACAGGAGCUGGCCAUUUGGUUGUGGAGCGAUGGACGCCCUUUCAUCUACACAAACUGGUGUCAUGGACAGCCUGAUAAUACUGCAGGCAGGCAGCGCUGUUUGUUGAUGAACUUUUCAGAUGAAAAGUGCUGGGAUGAUGACACCUGUUCUGUCCAUUUUCCUUUUAUCUGCGCCAAGAAAGUCUGAUGAUUCAGAUGUUAAAACAGAAUCCAGUGGAGGACUGGUGUUGUGUGUUUCUGUUAACCUCAUAGAUAUCCAAAAAUCUCUUUUUGAUUCAAUUUCUCUUUACUGAAAUGAGGCCACAAAUAAACAGCAGGUGGACUUUUUCUCUUUAAUUAAAGAGUAUCAUUU
Molecule: long non-coding RNA, 363 nt
Organism: Fundulus heteroclitus (mummichog)
Lineage: Eukaryota; Metazoa; Chordata; Actinopteri; Cyprinodontiformes; Fundulidae
Exons: 3
Source: RefSeq, a predicted model, not a curated record